AAAACGGCCCUUUUAAGGGCCACCGCACUGCGAUCUAUUCCAUGAUU
Molecule: non-coding RNA, 47 nt
Organism: Macrostomum lignano
Lineage: Eukaryota; Metazoa; Platyhelminthes; Macrostomidae
Source: Rfam